AUUUCUAUAGUUGAAUUACAACGAUGAUUUUUCAUGUCAUAGGUCAUGGGUAUACCAUGUAGAAAUA
Molecule: transfer RNA, 67 nt
Filed under: Eozapus setchuanus (Chinese jumping mouse)
Lineage: Eukaryota; Metazoa; Chordata; Mammalia; Rodentia; Dipodidae
Description: tRNA-Glu
Source: RNAcentral